This 301-nucleotide ribosomal RNA is filed under the name uncultured bacterium. RNAcentral describes it as "partial 16S ribosomal RNA". It matches the Rfam family "Bacterial small subunit ribosomal RNA", at positions 509 to 809 of the family's 1533-position model. The record is from RNAcentral.
CAGCAGCCGCGGUAAAACGUAGGGUGCAAGCGUUAAUCGGAAUUACUGGGCGUAAAGCGUGCGCAGGCGGUUAUAUAAGACAGAUGUGAAAUCCCCGGGCUCAACCUGGGAACUGCAUUUGUGACUGUAUAGCUAGAGUACGGCAGAGGGGGAUGGAAUUCCGCGUGUAGCAGUGAAAUGCGUAGAUAUGCGGAGGAACACCGAUGGCGAAGGCAAUCCCCUGGGCCUGUACUGACGCUCAUGCACGAAAGCGUGGGGAGCAAACAGGAUUAGAUACCCCUGUAGUCCCUGUCUCUUAUAA